UUGACUCUCAAAUGAGAAUCGUUAUGAUUAUCACAACUGGUCGCGAGAUCAGCCGAUAACUGAAAGACCAUUGGUUCGGACUCUCAGAUUAUCUCCUCAUCAGGCUAAUCACGGUUAUUUGACCCGGCUCUUGCCGGGUCUUUUUUUA
This 148-nucleotide small RNA is filed under the name Pseudomonas costantinii. RNAcentral describes it as "PrrF RNA". It matches the Rfam family "PrrF RNA". From Rfam's summary of the family: PrrF RNA is a small RNA involved in iron homeostasis and is found exclusively in Pseudomonas species. Their expression is induced under iron limitation by the ferric uptake regulator (Fur) and they act to negatively regulate several genes including sodB and sdh. The record is from RNAcentral. RNAcentral also lists the same sequence under 1 other name. Lineage: Bacteria; Pseudomonadati; Pseudomonadota; Gammaproteobacteria; Pseudomonadales; Pseudomonadaceae.